UGGAAUGCUGCAUCUAGCUUCCUAUUGCCAUUCGGAGUACUUGACCACACGUCAUACUUCAUGGAUUUGUGGACAUCAUCCUCGCUGUAGGACUUAAUGACAAAGAACUUUGCAUUUUCAUACUCAGUUUGGGAAUCUUGUAGGUUGUAUUUAUCUUUAUAUAAGUUAAGUCCCAGGUCUUCCUUCUUAACAGAAGAGUCCAAAGGGGCAGCCCUGUUUAAGGCCCUUGGACCACAAGUUAGUUCAGCAGAGGUUUCAAAGUCAACGUUGGAUUUCCUAUACCUAUCAUUUUGAUUCCA
This 299-nucleotide long non-coding RNA is filed under the name Gossypium barbadense (sea-island cotton). Its description in RNAcentral is "long non-coding RNA (GBAR_LNC002787)". Lineage: Eukaryota; Viridiplantae; Streptophyta; Magnoliopsida; Malvales; Malvaceae. The record is from RNAcentral.